This 369-nucleotide unclassified non-coding RNA is filed under the name Hevea brasiliensis (rubber tree). Lineage: Eukaryota; Viridiplantae; Streptophyta; Magnoliopsida; Malpighiales; Euphorbiaceae. The record is from RNAcentral.
CUUAAUAGUGAUUUUCAGAAAUCGGUCAUUAGAAGUUAAUUGGUGCUUCAAAUAUACCAUAGGAUUUCCAUUCCCAAGUUGAUUGGGCAUAACAUAGUGCAUAUUUGUUGUUACAGUGCCAGGGACAGACAUUCCAGCUGCAGGCGAUGAAGACUCGCUGUGGGCUUCUGAUUGAUUUUCUGACUGUUCAUUCUCACUACCAUCUGAAUGAUAAUGAAGCGAGGACGUCAUAAUGCUGCUUGCCACAGAAUCUCCAAAGUAACAAACCUUUCGGGAAGAGCUUCGUGUAUACGAAAACCAAUAAGCAGCUUUAAUUUUGGUGUUCUCUGUUGAAUUUCCUUCUCUAGAGAGAGCUUUACUACGUGUUUG